UAGUCAUAUAUUCUGUAUUAUUAAUCACUUAAAUUUGUGCCCUGCCCUCCCCAGAGGCUGAUGACCCCCCUCUCUACACCCCUGCAUUCUGAGGCAGGGACCAGGCUCCCAACCGGCAUGGAAGAAUCUGUCCCCUGCCACCAUGGGGACACACACUGGCAGCAAAUGAGGGGGCUGCUGCCAGACUUCACUCAUCCAGAGAAGACUAGUAAGGAAAAUGUAGACCUCAGGUUAAAUGACAUCAUCCUGAUACAUUCAUCCCAUCAUGUUCCAGUUUUCCUGAAGAGGUGUUGGGAAAUCCUUAGUAGCUUCUCUUACUACAUCAUAUCCAGUCUUAGAGAUGAAGUUAUUUCUUAUCCUGUACUGGUCAGCAAUCCAUUGUUGUGUGGCUUGAAUAUUGACAACAAGCAGAGGAAGCCCUUGCUUAUAAGAUCUGAAUUAAUGUAUAUUCUUGGUUUACUCACUUUUAUGGUCAUCUAUAUCAGUGGGUGUGAGGAGGGGAAGCAAUCCACAUCUAGACUGCCUGCACGGUUACCCCAAAGUCCUUAAAUGGAAAUUCUAAUGAAGCCUUCAAACUCAAAUCAGGGAGAGGGUCCCUAAGGAAGCGAGAAUAAUUCUGAAACGUGAAUUCCAGCACUGAAAUUAUAUGUUGUGUUGAGGAAAUUCUGGAGCAUGACUGAGGAAUAUAGAAGAUCUCAAACUGGUGAGAAAUGGCAAAAGAGUUGGCCUAGAUAAGGAGAAGGAAGUUAAUUAAACUAUUUGAAAUAAUUAAUAAUUUAUAGUUCCUUAAGGUUUUUUUUGUUUGUUUUGUUUUUACUUUUCUUGAAAUGAUUUUAUAAAAUGAUGAAACUGGUACCCUAUAUGGUUAAAUAAAUUUCCUAUGGUAAAAUUGUUAAUAAGUGUC
Molecule: long non-coding RNA, 904 nt
Filed under: Monodelphis domestica (gray short-tailed opossum)
Lineage: Eukaryota; Metazoa; Chordata; Mammalia; Didelphimorphia; Didelphidae
Description: lncRNA (ENSMODG00000035628.2)
Source: RNAcentral